Hevea brasiliensis (rubber tree) is the source of this 371-nucleotide long non-coding RNA. RefSeq lists it as uncharacterized. The transcript has 2 exons. Lineage: Eukaryota; Viridiplantae; Streptophyta; Magnoliopsida; Malpighiales; Euphorbiaceae. The record is from RefSeq and is a predicted model, not a curated record.
UACAUUUAAUUAUAGUUAUUUUAUUAUGGUUUUUUUGCAGGAAUGCCUGAUGGUGACUCCUUGCCACUCAAAGUUUCCCUUAAGGAUGGCAUGAGAAUAAGAUACCAUAGGAGCCACCUAUCCUCUAUUUUAAAAGGGAGGGUGUCAAAGUGAAGGCAUACUAUGUGUGGGCAUUUCAUGAUAAUUUUGAAUGGGGUCAUGGUUACACUGUUCGAUUUGGCAUCGUUUAUGUUGAUUAUAAGAAUAAUCAGAAACGUUAUCUCAAAUACUCUGCUUAUUGGUUUAAAAAAUUCCUUCUAAAUUAACAUUUAACCUAGCUAAUCCUAUGACUAAGCUGCAACUAAAUAAAUAGAAAAUCAACAAAUUUCUCA